This 434-nucleotide ribosomal RNA is filed under the name uncultured bacterium. RNAcentral's name for it is "partial 16S ribosomal RNA". It matches the Rfam family "Bacterial small subunit ribosomal RNA", at positions 29 to 507 of the family's 1533-position model. The record is from RNAcentral.
AGCGAACGCUGGCGGCAGGCCUAACACAUGCAAGUCGAACGAACCUUUCGGGGUUAGUGGCGGACGGGUGAGUAACACGUGGGAACGUGCCUUUAGGUUCGGAAUAACUCAGGGAAACUUGUGCUAAUACCGAAUGUGCCCUUCGGGGGAAAGAUUAAUCGCCUUUAGAGCGGCCCGCGUCUGAUUAGCUAGUUGGUUGAGGUAAUGGCUCACCAAGGCGACGAUCAGUAGCUGGUCUGAGAGGAUGAUCAGCCACAUUGGGACUGAGACACGGCCCAAACUCCUACGGGAGGCAGGAGUGGGGAAUCUUGCGCAAUGGGCGAAAGCCUGACGCAGCCAUGCCGCGUGAAUGAUGAAGGUCUUAGGAUUGUAAAAUUCUUUCACCGGGGACGAUAAUGACGGUACCCGGAGAAGAAGCCCCGGCUAACUUCGUG